This 1063-nucleotide long non-coding RNA is filed under the name Scleropages formosus (Asian bonytongue). RNAcentral describes it as "lncRNA (ENSSFOG00015031949.1)". The record is from RNAcentral. Lineage: Eukaryota; Metazoa; Chordata; Actinopteri; Osteoglossiformes; Osteoglossidae.
UUCAGCAUAUCCCUUCUUAUCAAAUAUUGCUGAGUCAGCUGUUGUGUCCAGUCAGGGUCAUACUGUGAAGAAACAAUAGACCAGGUUGAUGAGUAACGAGGUCUCCUCGGUAUGCCCACCGAAAUGCAUAUGGUUGAAAAUGAAAUGAAAAUCUUCCGUUCAGAAUAUCAGUUUCGGCAUUCGGUGCAUAUUUAUGAAAUACCUUGUGAACCGAAUGCAUUUCCUUAUCUGAUUCAUGCUCAUCUGAAAGACUCCUUUCAUUCGUUCAAAAACCGAGCUGCUUCUGGGUUUACGAGGUGAAGUCCAGACCAGUCCUCCGGCCAGAAUUUGUGGAAGAUGUUUACCGUGCCUCUUGCGUAAACUGAAACGGUUGGUAUAACAGCCAGUUACAUCGUGGCACAUGCCGUGUCCCAUUAGGAGGACAGAGACACGACUAUGGCCACAGUAGGACUUCCUUUAUGGUGACUAAUAACAACCGAAGGAGGCGAACCCUCGGAGGGGAGACGGAAACAUAACCGCGCAGCCCUUUGCGCAUUUCUGGUCCCGGCGAUUUGAAACUCUUCUGCUGGAAGUGUGUUGGAUCAGUGGGGGUUUAGAUGAAGGACGAAUGUGUAUUUACCACAGACUUUGCUGUACCACAAAAUAACGCAAUCUCAGAGGUGCUGACACUUGGGCUGAUGGCAUGGGUGUGACACCAUCGGUCGAGGGAUUUCAGACGGACCGGCGCUCCGACGAAACCUUGGGGUUCCCUGGUGCAACAGCAGGAAGGGCAGCUGUUACUCAAGAUUUCCCCCCCCCCCCGCCCCACCCGGUACUUUGGUCCCUCCAGCUCCCGCCGCCACCCCAGCCCCCACAACCCUUUGCGCGUCAACAGGACCUGACAAAGCUGAUGCGCAUUCGUGAGAGGAUGGAAAAGCAGAAGUGGGGACAUGUCGAAAUUGUGUUCGGCACUUCGCCAAGGCGGCUCUGGUCACUUACGGGAGCUCAGCAGCUCUGGAUUCCCGAUAGGCCGGAGGUCCGGAUAUCCGUAGGGCGUGAUCUGAACACCAACCGCCGCAUAUGA